Molecule: long non-coding RNA, 3654 nt
Filed under: Homo sapiens (human)
Lineage: Eukaryota; Metazoa; Chordata; Mammalia; Primates; Hominidae
Source: RNAcentral
CUGGGGAAAAGACAGUCUCUUCACUGAAUGGUGCUAGGAAAACUGGAUAUCCAUAUACAGAAGAAUGAAACUAGGCCCCUAUGUCUCAAUGUAUUCAAAAAUAAAAUCAAAACAGGUUAAAGACUUAUAUCUAAGACCUCAAACUAUGAAAUUACUACAAGAAAAUAUUGGGGAAAUUCUCCAGGACAAUGCUCUGGGCAAAAAUUUCUUGAGGCAUACCCCACAAGCACAGGCAAUCAAAGCAAAAAUGGACAAAUGAGAUCACGUCAAGUUAAAAAGCUUCUGCAAAGCAAAGGAAACUGUCAACAAAAUGAAGAGACAACCCACAGAAUGGAAGAAAAUAUUUUCAAACUACCUAUCUGACAAGGGAUUAAUAACCAGAAUAUAUAAGGAGCUCAAACAACUCUAUAGGAAAAAAAUAUAACAAUCCAAUUAAAAAAUGGGCAAAAGAUCUGAAUAGACCUUUCUCAAAAGGAGACAUACUAAUGGCAAGCAGGUGUAUGAAAAUAUGCUCAACAUCAUUGAUCAUCAGCAAAUCGAAACUAUAAUGAGAUAUCUUUUUACCCUAGUUAAAAUGGCCUUUAUCUUAAAGACAGGCAAUAACCAAUGCUGGUGAGGAUGUGGAGAAAAGGGAAACCUCAUACACUGUUGGUGGGAAUGUAAAUUAGUACAAUCACUAUGGAGAACAGUUUGGAGGUUCCUCACAGAAAUGAACAUAGAGCUACCAUAUGAUCCAGCAAUCCCACUCCUGGGUAUAUACUCCAAAGAAAGUAAACAGUAUAUCAAAGAGAUAUCUGCACUCCUAUGUUUGUUCCAGCACUGCUUACAAUAGCUAAGAUUUGGAAGCAACCUAAGUGUCCAUUAACAGAUGAAUGGAUAAAGAAAAUGUGGUACAUAUACAUAAUGGAGUACUACUCAGCCAUUAACAACAAUGAGCUCCUAUAAUUUUCAUUUGCAGCAACAUGGAUGGAACUGGAGGUCAUGUUAAGUGAAAUAAGCCAGGCACAAACAUUGCAUGUUCUCGCUUAUCUGUGGAAUGUAAAAAUCAAAACAAUUGAACUUGUGGACACAGAGCAGCAGUAGAAUCGUUACCAGAGGCUGGGAAGGGGACGUGGUGGUGGAGGGGAGGUUGGGAUAGCUAAUAGGUUUUAAAAAAUAGAAAGAAUGAAUAAGACCUACUAUUUGAUAUCACAACAGGGUGCCUAUAGUCAAUAAUAAAUUAAUUCUACAUUUUAAAAUAACUUAAAAAGCGUAAUUGGAUUGUUUGUAACACAAAGGAAAAAUGCUAGAGGGAAUGGAUAUUCCAUUCUCCAUGAUGUGAUUAUUUAAUAUCGCAUGACUGUAUCAAAACAUCUCAUGUACCCCACAAAUGCAUAUACCUACUAUGAACCCACAAAAAUUAAAAAAAAAAAAACUAAAAAAACUAGCAGUGCUCACUUUGGAAGCAAAUACUAAAAUUGGAAUAAUACACAGAAUAUUAUCAUGGCCCCUUGCACAAGGAUGACACACAAAUUUGUGAAGUACUCUAUAUUUUUAUAUUAAAUAAAAUUAUUAUUUAAAAAUUUUUAAAAACUAAAGAAUUUUAAUACACAGUUUGGAAAAACAUGCUAUAUAGUUUCUAAGUAGCCCAUAGUGAAAAAUAACAUAAUAAAUAAUUUUUAAUUUCCAAAAAUAAAAGUAAAAAUAGACCAAUGCUGUAAGAACUGCUUCUUAUAGCAUAGUAAAAAGAAAAAAAAAAAAAAAGGAGUGGCCAAGAUGGCCGAAUAGAAGCAGAUAGUGUGCAUGGCUCUCAUGGAGAGGAAGAGAAGGGGUGAAUAAAUACAAUACCUUCAAUUGAAACAUCCAGGUACUCGCACUGGGGUUAAUCAAGGAAACAGCCUUACCCACAGAGAACAAACAAAAGCAAGACAGGACAAUGGCCCACCUAGCAGCGACAUGGAGCCAUGGGAUUCCCCCCUGCCCAGGGAAGCAGUGAGUGAAUGAGCAGCCCUGGGAAACCAUGCUUCUCCCACAGAUCUUUGCAACUUGCUGGUCAAGAGGUCUCCUUGUGAACGCACUCCACCAGGGCCUUCAGUCUUCAGUUUGACAGACAGAACUAGGUGGAGUCUUGGCAUAGCAGCUGCUCAGGCACGCAUGGAGACCCUGCAGCCUUAGAUGCUAAGGCUUUCUAGAAAACGUAGCUGCAGCUCCAGCAAAGUGGGAGGUUAGACUCCUGUGCAUGCCCCUAGGAAAGAGGAUGAAUCCAGGGGGCUGAGCAGCAACAGCCCACGGACCCCACUUCCACAGCACUUCACAAGAUAAGACCCACUGACUUGGAAUUCCAGCAGCUACCAGUAGUGGCACUGCACCUCCCUAAGAAGGAGCUCCCUGGGGUUGGGGUGGGCCACCACCAUUGCUGUUCAGGCACCUUAGUCAUUCCAGCCUUCAGGCUUUGGAGAGUCUGAGCUGACCUGGGGCAGAAGGGAUCCCCCAGAACAGUACAGCCACUCUACCAAAAUGUGGCCAGACUGCUGCUUUAAGCAGGUACCCAAUCCUGUUCCUCCUUACUGAGCAGGACCUCCCAACUCAGGCCUCAAGCCACCCCACCUAGGCACUCCAACCAACAGAGAUCUGAAUUACUCUUGGCAUGGCACUCCCAGAGGGAGGGGAAGGCCACCAUCUUUACUGUUUGGGUGACUUAGCUAUUCCAGCCUUUGGACUUUGGAGUGUCUGGGGUGACUGGGCCCUGAAGUGGACCCCCAGUGCUGCACAGAAAAGCUGCUCUACAAAAACGUGGCCAGACUGCUUUUUAAAAUGGGUCCUGAUCCCAUUCCUCCUUACUGGGCAGGACCUCCCAACCGGGGUCUCUAGCCACUUCCUAUAGGUGACUUUGGGCCAGCAACAGGUCCAUACCUCCCUUGGCAAAGCUCCCAAGGGAACUGCCCUUGCCACCGUCAGAUUAGUGAAGAAGUAGAGACCCUAAGUGCCUUAUUCAUACCUCCAGUGAGCUGCAGUUGACCCAAGGGGAGGACGUCAGUCCAUCUCCCACGGGUCCCAUAUAGCCCCCAUGGCUUAUCAACAGACAGGGAACCCCUGGCUUGGGCCCACAGCACAAACUCUCCAUCUUGGGUUGACUGCACUGAGCAAUUGCUGACCUGCAUCUCUCUGAGUUGGAGUCCCAAGGAAUCAAGCAAAUGACCCUUGGCCACAACCACUACUAAGAUCUCUUCCUCUGCGCCGCUAAGCUGGGAAAAGAACAUAAACACUGAAAUCACCCAAGAGCUGCAGUGGGCAGCCCAGGACUGCCAAAUCGUGAACUACACCCUGUACUUAACGGGGAGAGGAACCACAUUUUCAGAGCACUGAGAGGGAACAUGACUGCAACUGCAGGAAAACACAGGGGAGCCACACAAAGGGGCAAGAGUCUACCAACUGACCAAUAAGCCUAAGUGUACCUGCUGGAUCACAUCCCAAGGCUUCAACACCAAAAAUACCUCAUUAACAUACCUCCCUCUGAAAUCAGAGACAAGAAGUCAGCUUCAAAUAAAGACCCUACACAAUGUCUUGGUCCAGUGAAAACAUCCAGAAAAGAAAUCUAUUGACUGUGUUCAAUCUUUACUGCAGUUAAGGGAACACUCACACACACAGAUGAGAAAGAACCAAGGUAAGAACUUU